UACGUAGGUGGCGAGCGUUAUCCGGAAUUACUGGGUGUAAAGGGUGUGUAGGCGGAGAAGCAAGUCAGGCGUGAAAUUUCCGGGCUCAACCCGGAAACUGCGCUUGAAACUGUUUCCCUUGAGAGUGGGAGAGGUAAACGGAAUUCCUGGUGUAGUAGUGAAAUGCGUAGAUAUCAGGAGGAACACCGGUGGCGAAGGCGGUUUACUGGACCACAACUGACGCUGAGACACGAAAGCGUGGGGAGCAAACAGG
RNAcentral lists this ribosomal RNA (253 nucleotides) under uncultured bacterium. RNAcentral describes it as "partial 16S ribosomal RNA". It matches the Rfam family "Bacterial small subunit ribosomal RNA", at positions 524 to 776 of the family's 1533-position model. The record is from RNAcentral.